Molecule: ribosomal RNA, 253 nt
Filed under: uncultured bacterium
Lineage: Bacteria
Description: partial 16S ribosomal RNA
Rfam family: Bacterial small subunit ribosomal RNA
Source: RNAcentral
UACGUGGGGGGCGAGCGUUGUUCGGAAUUAUUGGGCGUAAAGGGUGCGUAGGCGGUUUGGUAAGUCUCUUGUGAAAUCUAUGGGCUCAACUCAUAGUCUGCAAGGGAAACUGCCGGGCUUGAGUGUGGGAGAGGUGAGUGGAAUUUCCGGUGUAGCGGUGAAAUGCGUAGAUAUCGGAAGGAACACCUGUGGCGAAAGCGGCUCACUGGACCACAACUGACGCUGAGGCGCGAAAGCUAGGGGAGCAAACAGG